AAGUCGUAACAAGGUUUCCGUAGGUGAACCUGCGGAAGGAUCAUUAACAAAUCUGUGAGAGUGGGGGGGGUGAGUUGGGGGGAGAGUGUGUGGUGGGGUGUUGCUCUAUCACACAUCAAUCCUCAACGAUCCAACCCAACACACAUUGACUCGGGCGCUACUCUGUGAUCACCUUCUUGGUGGUUCCGGUGGAGAUUGCCCUGAGACAUACACGCUUGUUUUGUUUGACUGUAUUAUCAAUAAUUUAAUUAUGACAACUUUUAACAAUGGAUCUCUUGGCUCUU
Molecule: unclassified non-coding RNA, 284 nt
Filed under: fungal sp.
Lineage: Eukaryota; Fungi
Description: partial internal transcribed spacer region
Rfam family: Eukaryotic small subunit ribosomal RNA (bases 1-46)
Source: RNAcentral